ACUGGGCACAGUGUGCAUGCCUGUAAUCUCAAUUACUUGGGAGGCUGAGGCAGGAGGAUUGCAAGUUCAAGGCCAGCCUCAGCAAUUUAGUGAGACCCUGUCUUAU
This 106-nucleotide small RNA is filed under the name Marmota monax (woodchuck). Lineage: Eukaryota; Metazoa; Chordata; Mammalia; Rodentia; Sciuridae. The record is from RNAcentral.